UAUCAUUUUGAGUGAUAAUUACAAUCAUUGGUUCCCAAAUAUCCACAUGUCAUGUUUAACUAUGUUAGAUAAUCAUCGACCUCACCGAACUAAAACAAACACAAUCAUCACUUACUCUCUCUCUCUGUUCUCUCUCUCCUACUGUCACUCUCCGGCCGCCGUCCUCCGCCGUUGAAUCUAGCAUUUUCCGGUGACUGUCCUCCUCUUUACAGGACGAUGAUAGCUCCUUCAACAACCCCUUCUCUCCAUUUCACUUGUGGUGGUUUGAUAUGUUUUACUUGAGCCGACGAGUGGUGGUGGAGCUAAGAUUUUCACUAACAGGCUCAAAAUCGGAAAAAGUCAAUCAAAUCGAAGGCGUAUCCACCCUUGAAAGUUGGAGCUCUUUUAUUCUUUUUUUCCCCCUACUUUUCCCAUAUGGGACCAUACGGCAGUUUGCAUAUUAUUCUCAUUUUUCUUGUUCAUGUCAAUUUUACUUUAUUUUUAAGAGUGUUAAUUCACCUGGCAAUAAAUAGUCUGGAUAUUUUAGGAAAAAUUAUAUCAUAUCAUAAUUUA
Molecule: long non-coding RNA, 552 nt
Organism: Capsicum annuum
Lineage: Eukaryota; Viridiplantae; Streptophyta; Magnoliopsida; Solanales; Solanaceae
Exons: 3
Source: RefSeq, a predicted model, not a curated record